This is a long non-coding RNA of Pyrus x bretschneideri (Chinese white pear), 1940 nucleotides long. RefSeq lists it as uncharacterized. The transcript has 3 exons. The record is from RefSeq and is a predicted model, not a curated record. NCBI's taxonomy places the organism in Eukaryota, Viridiplantae, Streptophyta, Magnoliopsida, Rosales, Rosaceae.
UGCAUCUUCUUUUACAGAUUUCCAGAGAGCUCACAUUCACUUUGCAACCGACAACUAACAUGUGUGCAUCUUUACACUGUUUCAAUGAGUGACUUUAAAAUUUUAUGAAAUAUUGUUAACAAAUGCAUUACAAGGAUGUUAUCAAUAAAUACUCAAUCAUUAUAAAACUAACACUAUUUUCGGAAACUAGCUCUGCCCUUACCAUCUAAGCAGCUUCACUCGAAGCUUGUUUGCUACAUAAAUGAGGAACUAAUGGACACAGAGAACCCAUCGUAAGUCUUGCCCAACGGCUAUGUCUACAGCUCUAAGGCUCUUGAAGAAACGGCAAGGAAGAAUGAUGGUGAGAUUACUUGCCCAAGGACAGGCUUGAUCUGCAGUUACACUGAUCUGGUGAAGGCAUAUAUAUCGUUAAUCUACAUACCAUGGCCUGUUCAGUCGUUCUGGUUUGUUAUCUAUUUAUACGGGAAUUUGUAGCUGUUAUAACGUCCUGUGCUAUCCGUACAUAAAUCCUCCCCUGCCAUAUUGAGUUCGGUUAAUAAGAACUAUGCCCUGGGAUCGAUGCUCUACUCUUACUCUUGUAUUCCUCUUGGGCACUCGAAAGUUGAAACAUGUAUAUAAGCGUAGAUUACGUUUCACCCUUUAUUUUCAUGUUAAAUUUCUUAAUGGUGAAUUGAAUUAUUUGGCAUUCAUUGAACUGAAAAGCAGGUCAUUUCAAGAUGAGUAAUUUUACAGUUAUCAUAAUUGCAACACUUCUAAUAGAGAUAAGAUUAGCUAGUACAAGUGUGUCUCAUUUUUAUUAAAGAAGUGUUACAUAUAUGAUAUACAAAAUAUGAUAAGUGCAGGAUUCUUGUUUCAAGAUAUACGAUGGUAAGUCACAUAUUUAUGAGAUCACGUUAAGAUGUUUAAACGAUAAGUUGUUUUUACUUUUAAGUUUUAACUGCAAACUAUACACAAGUGAUAAAUUAUCGUGAUGGUUAGUCUUCCUUUUUAUAUCACAGCAUAUCUACCUGAAUAAUUCCAAGUUUCUUAAUAUAUUGGUCUUGUCUGAGACAAACAGUGAAUAUUGAAUGUUACUUUCAAGCGAAGACUUGGAAAGACGUUGUCUACAGGUCCAAAUUAAAUAGCAAUUUGCAUAUUACACAUUGGUAGUUUUAUUAUUACUUUCUUUCCUGUCAUUUUGGAGGUUAGUCAACUAGCAACAAUCAACCGGCAAAUAAGGAUUGAAAUCUUUAUUUGCUUUUGAUGCAUCAUGUAUGAUCUCAUCCGAUUAUUGGAAGACUUGUUAAUUAAGUUGAUCUAUUGGCAGUAAAACUAAAGGCUCAUUUGGUAAAUACAUUUAAAUGAUCGAAAUCGUUUUAAUAGAAAAUGUUUUUGAGUUUUAAAAGCGCUUGAAGUGUUUUCUGCUAAAGCACCUGUGACAUCCCGUCCCAAAAUUAUCUAAAACGUACAUGUGAAAUGACCCUUUUACCCCUAGUUUGUUUUCGUUACAUUAUUGGUUAUUUUUUUGGUGUUGAUGGCAUGUGUUGGGCCACACACACACCUUCCCACCACUCCACAUUUUCUAUCCCUUUCCCUGUCACUCUCUCCCGUGCUCCCAUCUCCCUUCCCGUUCACCAUAACGUACGGACACACACACAACUCACUCAAAUCAUCACAGAUCGAGGGAACUAAACCCAUAUUCGAGCUCGUGAGGUUGAGAGGAGCACGAUCGUACCAUUUUCAACCCGUAAUGACCUGGUGAGGUUCCCAGGAGUCCCGGAGUAACUCGUUGGAGGAAUUUGGACGUCGGAAUCGUCCUGUUCGAACUUGGCCGGUUUUGGAGGUUGGGGUCAGGUAAGAUCUCGUGAUUUUUAGCCUUUAAAACUUGUGUGAUCGUGUUCUACUAGUCCUAAGCUUCAAUUUGGUGUUAGAAUCGUGAAAAAUGGUUGAGAAUCGAGUGA